Molecule: ribosomal RNA, 395 nt
Filed under: Pagrus major (red seabream)
Lineage: Eukaryota; Metazoa; Chordata; Actinopteri; Spariformes; Sparidae
Description: partial 16S ribosomal RNA
Rfam family: Bacterial large subunit ribosomal RNA
Source: RNAcentral
UUGAUCUCCCCGUGCAGAAGCGGGGAUAAUACCAUAAGACGAGAAGACCCUAUGGAGCUUUAGACGUCAGAGCAGCCCAUGUAAAGCACCCCUUAACAAAGGAAAAAACCAAAUGAAGCCUGCCCUAAUGUCUUUGGUUGGGGCGACCGCGGGGAAAUACAAAACCCCCAUGUGGAGUAGGAAUACACAUUCCUAAACCCAAGAGCUCCCGCUCUAAUGAACAGAAAUUCUGACCAAUAAGAUCCGGCACACGCCGAUCAACGGACCGAGUUACCCUAGGGAUAACAGCGCAAUCCCCUUAAAGAGCCCUUAUCGACAAGGGGGUUUACGACCUCGAUGUUGGAUCAGGACAUCCUAAUGGUGCAGCCGCUAUUAAGGGUUCGUUUGNUCAACGA